Molecule: non-coding RNA, 468 nt
Organism: Rattus norvegicus (Norway rat)
Lineage: Eukaryota; Metazoa; Chordata; Mammalia; Rodentia; Muridae
Source: the annotation of a RefSeq genome assembly
AUGCAUGUUCACUGCAUAUUCAUUAUUUCAGGUACCUGUGGGGACAUUGUGAUGACCCAGUCUCCAUCCUCUCUGGCUGUGUCAGCAGGAGAGACAGUCACUAUAAACUGCAAGUCCAGUCAGAGUCUUUUUGGAAGUGUAAGACAAAAGAACUACUUGGCCUGGUACCAGCAGAAACCAGGGCAGUCUCCUAAACUGCUGAUCUACUUGGCAUCCACUAGGGAAUCUGGUGUCCCUGAUCGCUUCAUAGGCAGUGGAUCUGGGACAGACUUCACUCUGACCAUCAGCAGUGUGCAGGCAGAAGAUCUGGCAAAUUAUUACUGUCAGCAGUAUUAUGAUACUCCUCCCACAGUGCUACAGCCUCCUACACAAACCUCCUUGAGAGUUUCAACAGCUGUGUACACCAUCCACAGCCCUGGAAUGCACACUUCCCUCAUCUACCUGAGAGUUGCCAUACCUAAAAGCUGA